This 253-nucleotide ribosomal RNA is filed under the name uncultured bacterium. RNAcentral describes it as "partial 16S ribosomal RNA". It matches the Rfam family "Bacterial small subunit ribosomal RNA", at positions 524 to 776 of the family's 1533-position model. The record is from RNAcentral.
UACGGGGGGGGCAAGCGUUGUUCGGAAUUACUGGGCGUAAAGGGCUCGUAGGUGGCCAACUAAGUCAGACGUGAAAUCCCUCGGCUUAACCGGGGAACUGCGUCUGAUACUGGAUGGCUUGAGUUCGGGAGAGGGAUGCGGAAUUCCAGGUGUAGCGGUGAAAUGCGUAGAUAUCUGGAGGAACACCGGUGGCGAAGGCGGCAUCCUGGACCGGCACUGACACUGAGGAGCGAAAGCCAGGGGAGCGAACGGG